Molecule: long non-coding RNA, 379 nt
Organism: Rhinolophus ferrumequinum (greater horseshoe bat)
Lineage: Eukaryota; Metazoa; Chordata; Mammalia; Chiroptera; Rhinolophidae
Exons: 3
Source: RefSeq, a predicted model, not a curated record
CAUGGCCCUGUCACCUGGGUAGAUGGAGGUGGCUACCUCCGACAGCGGUAGGCUGACGCUAAUGUAUUUCUGUACCUUGGGAUUUUGAUGACUAGAGUUUAAUUCUUCAGCAUUUGGGCCGUCGUUGGGUGAGGAGACAGUUGUGAGUCCUCUGACGAGCACUCGACUUCAAUGGAAGCAGAACAGCAGAUCAUUCCAGAACCGUUUUUAGCAGAGAUUUGGUACACAGCAGCGUCAUUUGGGGAACAGCUAGGAUGAAAAGAACAUACAGGCCAUGAUCUCUCUGCUAGAGAAACCGCCAUUCCUGAAGGUACCAUGACUUGGGUGGAAAAGAGACAGGACGAAAAGAGAAGAAGGGCGAGAGGCACAAUGGACCAGG